UUGAAGAAAUUGCUUGAUUCUGGGCCUUGCUUGCGGAAUCUUCAGUAAUGGUUGAUGCAAAAUGACCAAGUUUAUUUGUUUCAUAAAAAUGGCCUAGGUUCUCCAGAAGGUGUAGGGAAAUCCCUGUGGUGAGAUGUGUCUGCAUUGAUGAUGAAUUGAUAAAACAAUAUUCCAGUUGAAUAUUGUUUUAGUCUUUCUAAAGUAGCCCAAAUAAAAUAAUGUUUCUAAGACUACUAUUAUCUCCAACUUUACAUAAAUACUUAUGUGAACUGGUUAUCACCAGUAGUUAUUAACUUCUGAUUUUUUGGGCAUUUAUAUAUAUAUAUAAACAAACCACAUUUGUUUACAUUUGGAUGAUCUAGUGCAUUCAUUAAUGGUUUGAACUGGUAACAAUGCCAUGUGGACAUUUUUUGUUGUAUUAUUAUAUGUAUGGAGGAGAGAAAAAUUAUUUUUAUGGUGUCAAAUACUGGGAUUAUUUUGAGCAUUGUAAAGAGGAAAAAAAGUUCCUCUGUGUUAUAAGAAUGAAUAUUUUCUAGAACUGUAUUGAAAAUAGAUGUGGAUUAGAUUAUUUUAUUUUUCUCUUAGUUACCUAAUUUCCUUCUGUUACCUUUCAACUUUGUCCUAAUGCAAGGUAUACCAAUUGUGGUCUGCUCAAAACUUAAUCAUGUAGGAGUUUCACAGUACACUUCUAAUGUAAUCUGAUUCAAACUAAGACUUCAGAAUUUAAAUUUCCAGGCUUUUGUGAGGGGUCUGGAAGAGAGAGGAAGGUUAGGGAGAAGGGUGGGCAUAAGUUGAAGAAACAUUCUGAAGAUGCUGCUGUCUUCCUCUUCUGCUGCUGUGACACUGGCCAUGACUGAGAGGUUGCCCUCACACAGUCAGACAUUAAGUGAAGCAAUUAAUUUAGAAUGCGUGCAGAAAAUGAAUUCUGGUUGGCUCAUGAUACCAUUUAAUUCUGGUGAGCAUGUUCAUAAUGUUUUCCAAGUCUGGUAAAUACUGAAAAUAUCUUUCUAUAGCACAGGAUCUAAAAGGUCUUUUGUAAUGUUGCAUUAUUUCUCAAAAUGAUGGACAGAAGAGUAUAAAUCCCAUCUAUCUGCCUGGUGCGUGACACAAACUCAGAACAUUUUGGGCUGGAAGGAAUGUUCAGAGAUCACUGAUUUCAGCCCCCAGUGCUCUUGAUUAGGCAACUGCAUAAACUUUGUGCAUCUGGUAAGUCUGUUGCAUAAAAUUUCCAGUGUAUCUGAUAAUUUACUGCUAAACUUGUCCUGAUUUUUUUUUUUGAGGA
Molecule: long non-coding RNA, 1282 nt
Filed under: Taeniopygia guttata (zebra finch)
Lineage: Eukaryota; Metazoa; Chordata; Aves; Passeriformes; Estrildidae
Description: lncRNA (ENSTGUG00000029518.1)
Source: RNAcentral